AAGAAAAUUCAAAGCUGGGAAAAAGGGGAAAAACAAAAGCACCGGAAAACGCAGCAGCGUCACCGGAGAUCAUGGCUUCCGGCUAUUUCAGCGUCUAUGCCGGUUCAAGUAGUGUGAGAAAUCAAUCGGCGGAGAAACGAACCGAGAGAGUCACGGGAACCCUAGACUGAAUUAGUAAUUUACCGGACAUAGUCCUCGUUCAAGUUCUAUCUCUUUUGCCGACGAAGGAUGCUUUCAUAACUCGUCUCGUCUCAGAACGGUGUCAGUAUCUCUGAACUUCAGUUGAUUGCUUAUAUUUCUGUUUCCCAUAUGAUUUGAACCUUAAAAACUUCAUAUCCUUUGUGGACUAUGCAUUUAUCGCACUUUUUCAAAAAUUAAAAUAUUUUAUCUCGAUGUUGACUUGCGUAGAUAUGAUUUCAAAAUCAGCCGAUGGCUUAAUAUUGCUGUGGAUAACAAAGUGGAAGAUGUUAUUGUAUUCAAGUAGUGAUGGCAUUUACAAAUUACUUCAAAUGCAUAUGCACUUGCUCGUCAUUGAUAAAUUUGAAUUUGGGGCAUUGUGCAUUAGGUAGAGCACUUGCUUGUUAUUACGUGGAAGGCUCUGAGAACUUUGACACUUUUCUCAGUAGGGUUAGAUGAUGAAACUGUUGCGAACUUACUGUUGGGUUUUCCUGCUUUGGGGACUUCGGAAUUGCUUUUUGUUAAUGGUUUCCGUAAGCGGAAAAUUAGACCUUCGAAUUUAAAGAAGCUAAAGCUGUAGAACUAUUUGCUAUUGGAUAAGGGAGGUGAUCAUUAAUGGGGAUUUUUUGCGCUUUAUCUUCAGCAUUUGGAGAUUUCAGGAUAUCUUUGAUGAUCUCAAGUGUUGGCAAGUAAAUUUAUCCUCCAUGGUCAACACUACGGUUACCUUUGCUAUUAUUUGUGUGGCAGACUCCUGGGUUGGUGUUGCUGAAGAAGAGAGUUGUCAUGAUUAUCGUCAAGUUCAGGGUCCAAGAUUAUCUUCAAAACUUGACUCGUGCAACUGAGCUAACAAUAGAAGCUGCGUUCGUGGAGGUCAUGCUCGUGUUGCAGCUCAAAGGAGUGGCGCUUCCAUAAUUGAAAUGCAAAUGUUUAAUGCUAGAGUUGCAUAUAACAUAGGAUAAUUUGUGUGGGGUAGCUAGCCUUUUGCAGGCCUCUCCUAACGUGGAGACAAUCAACAUAUAAUUGGAAUC
This is a long non-coding RNA of Nicotiana tabacum (common tobacco), 1205 nucleotides long. RefSeq lists it as uncharacterized. NCBI's taxonomy places the organism in Eukaryota, Viridiplantae, Streptophyta, Magnoliopsida, Solanales, Solanaceae. The record is from RefSeq and is a predicted model, not a curated record.